GUCUCUGGCUGUCCGAGUUGUAAUCUAGAGAAGUAAUGCCCGUGCUGGACCGUGUAUAAGUCUCCUGGGAUGGGGCGUCAUAGAGGGUGAGAAUCCCGUCUUUGACACGGACUACCAGUGCAUUGUGGUAUGCUCUCAAAGAGUCGAGUUGUUUGGGAAUGCAGCUCAAAAUGGGUGGUAAAUUCCAUCUAAAGCUAAAUAUUGGCGAGAGACCGAUAGCGAACAAGUACCGUGAGGGAAAGAUGAAAAGAACUUUGGAAAGAGAGUUAAACAGUACGUGAAAUUGCUGAAAGGGAAACGCUUGAAGUCAGUCGCAUUGGCCGGGGAUCAGCCUUGCUUUUGCAUGGUGUACUUUCUGGUUGAUGGGUCAGCAUCAAUUUUGACCACUGGAAAAAGACCUGGGGAAUGUGGCAGCUUCGGCUGUGUUAUAGCCCCUAGUCGCAUACAGUGGUUGGGAUUGAGGAACUCAGCACGCCGCAAGGCCGGGUUUCGACCACGUUCGUGCUUAGGAUGCUGGCAUAAUGGCUUUAAGCGACCCGUCUUGAAACACGGACCAAGGAGUCUAACAUGCCUGCGAGUAUUUGGGUGGAAAACCCAAGUGCGUAAUGAAAGUGAAAGUUGAGAUCCCUGUCGUGGGGAGCAUCGACGCCCGGACCAGAACUUUUGGGACGGAUCCGCGGUGGAGCAUGUAUGUUGGGACCCGAAAGAUGGUGAACUAUGCCUGAAUAGGGUGAAGCCAGAGGAAACUCUGGUGGAGGCUCGUAGCGAUUCUGACGUGCAAAUCGAUCGUCCAAUCUGGGUAUAUCCGCUCAGGACUAAUCUAACCAUCUAAUGGCUGGUUCCUGGCGAA
Molecule: ribosomal RNA, 850 nt
Filed under: Agaricus eburneocanus
Lineage: Eukaryota; Fungi; Basidiomycota; Agaricomycetes; Agaricales; Agaricaceae
Description: eukaryotic LSU rRNA
Rfam family: Eukaryotic large subunit ribosomal RNA
Source: RNAcentral